AUGGCGUCGGCGGCGCCGCCCGCCGCCGCACCCGGCCGCCCCCAUCCGACCUACACCAACGCAAGCUCCCUCUCCUCUCCUCUCCUCUCCUUGGAGAUGAUUACUUACGCGCUCGCCCAGCUGGGAGGCGCCUCCGCCCGCUCCGCCAUCGCCGGAUUCAUCGCCGCGCGCUUCACCGGCCUCCCCGUCAGCCACGACGCGCUCCUCUCCGCCCACCUCCGCCGCCUCGUCGCCGAGGGCCUCCUCUGCACCUCCGGAUUCUCCUACUUCUUCUCCUCCCACCACUCGCCGACCAGGCCACCGGAGAGUAACAGUCCCGAUUCCGAUUCGGAUGAUCCAUCAACUGGGAGGUUCCACUUCCUCCAGAGUAGCAGUAGCAGUAGCAGUGAGGAGGAGGAGGACGAAGAUGAUGCUGCCUACACGCCUCUGCCUGUGCAUGUGCAUGUGCCUGUUCCUGUGCUGGGAGAGAAGCGGGGCCGGGGCCGCCCGCGGAAGAAGGUUGUGGUUAUGCUGUCUGCUCACACCACCACUGCUGCUGCAACGCCUGGAGAACCCUGUCCUGCUCCUGCUCCUGCUCCUGUAAAGGGAGAGCAUUCUGGUGCUGCUGCAAAGGGAAAGGGGUCUGUGCUAUCUCUAUCUGGGGAUGCAGCUUACUCGGUGACUAAGCGAGGCCGUGGGAGACCAAGGAAGCUACACCAAGUUGCGCCGCCGUCCCCCUCACCCUCACCCUCACCCUCACCCUCACCGGGAGCAGGAGAUGAUCCACCGUCAACCGGUGGCAUCAUCAAGAUCAAGAUCAAGAGAGGGCGUGGGAGGCCGAGAAAGGAGGACCAACAAUCAAGAUCACAGGAAGCAACAACAAAGACUCUUCCAACUCCACCUGCGUCAAGGCGGCGGGGGAUCAAGGUAGGGUGUGGGAGACCAAUGCUAGCUCCUACAGGGCCUCCUGGGAGUUGGAGGCCACUAAUAAUAGACAAGCACCCACCAGAAACUGCAGCAAGGUGCUCUGUUGUUGAUGCUACGCCGUCGGUAAUCAAGAGACCGCGCGGGAGGCCAAGAAUGUACAGACCAUCCGCUCCUGAAACUGGAGAUGCAGCACCUGCUCCUCAAACUGGAGAUGCUGCAUUGAUGGGAGUCAAGAGAGCAGCUCAUGGUUGGCCAAUAAAGGAGAACCCAGCAGCAGCAGCAGCAGCAGCAAUGUCUGGUGAAACUGGAAAUGCUGCAUCGGCCGGAAUCAAGAUAGGGGAAGUGGAGAAUCCAACAGCAGCAAUAUCUGCUGAAGCCGGGGAUGUUGGGUCAACGGGAAUCAAGAGAGGGGGUGAGCAACUAGAAGUGGAAAUGCCAGCAGCAGCAAGGCCCGCUGAAGCUGGAGAUGCAACGCCUGCUGAAUUAACUGGAGGUGCUGCGUCAACGGGGAUCAAGAGAGGGCGUGGGAGGCCAAGAAAGGACAAGACAGCAGCAGCAGCAGCAAUGCCUGCUGACGCUGGGUCUGCGGGGAUCAAGAGAGGGCGUGGGAGGCCAGGAAAAGAGAAGCCAGCAGCAGCAGACUUGUUGGCUGAAACUGAAGCUGGAGAUGCCGUGUCAACUGGGAUGAAGGGGGCGCUUGAGAAUCCAAUAUCAGGUUAUGUCGUGUCAACUGGAAGCAAGGAAGCACUUAGAACGGAGAAGCCAUCGACAGGUGAUUUUGUGUCGAUGGUAAUGAAGAGAAAGAGAGGGCGUGGGAGGCCAAGGAAAGAGCAGCUGGCCUUCCUUUGA
This 1755-nucleotide ribosomal RNA is filed under the name Triticum aestivum (bread wheat). RNAcentral describes it as "partial small subunit ribosomal RNA". The record is from RNAcentral. Lineage: Eukaryota; Viridiplantae; Streptophyta; Magnoliopsida; Poales; Poaceae.